This 475-nucleotide ribosomal RNA is filed under the name uncultured bacterium. Its description in RNAcentral is "bacterial SSU rRNA". It matches the Rfam family "Bacterial small subunit ribosomal RNA", at positions 25 to 518 of the family's 1533-position model. The record is from RNAcentral.
CAGGACGAACGCUGGCGGCGUGCCUAACACAUGCAAGUCGAGCGAGGAGAUCCUCGGGAUGAUCCUAGCGGCGGACGGGUGAGUAACACGUGGGCAACCUGCCUCAUAGAGAGGAAUAGCCUUCCGAAAGGGAGAUUAAUACCUCAUAACAUUGCAGUUUCGCAUGAAACAGCAAUUAAAGGAGCAAUCCGCUAUGAGAUGGGCCCGCGGCGCAUUAGCUAGUUGGUGAGGUAACGGCUCACCAAGGCGACGAUGCGUAGCCGACCUGAGAGGGUGAUCGGCCACAUUGGGACUGAGACACGGCCCAGACUCCUACGGGAGGCAGCAGUGGGGAAUAUUGCACAAUGGGGGAAACCCUGAUGCAAGCAACGCCGCGUGAGUGAUGACGGCCUUCGGGUUGUAAAGCUCUGUCUUCAGGGACGAUAAUGACGGUACCUGAGGAGGAAGCCACGGCUAACUACGUGCCAGCCGCAGC